Molecule: non-coding RNA, 781 nt
Filed under: Peirates arcuatus
Lineage: Eukaryota; Metazoa; Arthropoda; Insecta; Hemiptera; Reduviidae
Source: RNAcentral
UUGGUUUGAGAAGUUUGAUCUUUGCUUGAUUAAUUUAUAUUUGGUUGAUUAAACAUGUAAAUUUUUGUGCGAUUUAUUAUUUCUUGAUGAAGUUUUUAGUUUAUUCGCAGUUUUUUAUUUUAUUUUUUUAGGAAACUAAGAAUUAGUUAAAUCUUACAGUUUUGACAAAGUUUGUGCCAGCAGUCGCGGUUAUACAAUAAGGGCAAAUAAAUUUUAUUAGGGCUUGCAUUUAAAAUUUACAAAUUUAGAUUUAUAUAUUUUUUUAUUGGGUGAAAUCAUGAAUUAAUUUAUGAUCUAUAUAUUUGAUGUUGAAUGUGAAAUUUCACAGUGGGACUAGGAUUAGAUACCCUAUUAUUAUGAAAUGUUAAGGAGUUCUUUUGGUAUUAUUAGUUAAGAUCUUUAAAUUAAAAAGAUUUGGCGGUAAUUUAGUCUUUUCAGAGGAACCUGCCCUGUAAUUGAUGAUCCACGAUAGAUUUCACCUUAUUUUAGCUUGUAUACCUCUGUCAUUGAAUGUCUUAUUAGAGUUAAAUUUUCUUUAAUUUUUAAUGGAAAAAAUGUCAAGUCAAGGUGCAGCAGUAUUAAGGAAGAGGUGGGUUACAAUAAAAAUAUUUAUGGAUAGGGAAUUGAAACAUUUUCUUGAAAUUGGAUUUGAAAGUAAUUUUUAUUAAUAUAUAAUUUUGAUUUAGGCUCUAAAUUAUGCACACAUCGCCCGUCACUCUCGUUAUUUAAAAUGAGAUAAGUCGUAACAAAGUAGGCCUACCGGAAGGUGGGCCUGGGAAGG